Molecule: ribosomal RNA, 274 nt
Filed under: unidentified marine bacterioplankton
Lineage: Bacteria
Description: partial 16S ribosomal RNA
Rfam family: Bacterial small subunit ribosomal RNA
Source: RNAcentral
UGCCUUACACAUGCAAGUUGUACGGAAGCUUUUUAAGUUUUAGUAGCGGACGGGUGAGUAACGCGUGAGAAUCUACCUUUAGGAUGGGAACAACAGUUAGAAAUGAUUGCUAAUGCCCAAUAUGCUUUAUUAAGUGAAAUGAAUUAUAUUCGCCUGAAGAAGAGCUCGCGUCUGAUUAGCUAGUUGGUAGGGUAAUGGCUUACCAAGGCGACGAUCAGUAGCUGGUCUGAGAGGGUGGACAGCCACAUUGGAACUGAGACACGGUCCAAACUCC